Molecule: ribosomal RNA, 624 nt
Filed under: Amanita sinensis
Lineage: Eukaryota; Fungi; Basidiomycota; Agaricomycetes; Agaricales; Amanitaceae
Description: LSU rRNA
Rfam family: Eukaryotic large subunit ribosomal RNA
Source: RNAcentral
AAAGAAACUAACAAGGAUUCCCCUAGUAACUGCGAGUGAAGAGGGAAGAGCUCAAAUUUAAAAUCUGGCAGUGUUUUGCUGUCUGAGUUGUAAUCUAGAGAAGUGCUGCCCGUGCUGGACCAUGUACAAGUCUCCUGGAAUGGAGCAUCACAGAGGGUGAGAAUCCCGUCUUUGACAUGGACUGCCAGUGCAUUUGUGGUGUGCUCUCAAAGAGUCGAGUUGUUUGGGAAUGCAGCUCUAAAUGGGUGGUAAACUCCAUCUAAAGCUAAAUAUUGGCGAGAGACCGAUAGUGAACAAGUACCGUGAGGGAAAGAUGAAAAGAACUUUGGAAAGAGAGUUAAACAGUAUGUGAAAUUGUUGAAAGGGAAACACUUAAAGUCAGUCAUGUCGGCCAGGGAUCAACCCAGUUUUUCUUUGCUGGGUGUACUUCCUGAUCUGACAGGCCAACAUCAGUUUUGACUGCUGGAGAAGGAUAGAGGGAAUGUGGCACCUCUGGGUGUGUUAUAGCUCUCUGUCAGAUGCAGUGGUGGGGACUGAGGAAGGCAGCAUGCCACAAGGCCAGGUUUAGACCAUGUUCAUGCUGAGGAUGUUGGCAUAAUGGCUUUAAUUGACCCGUCUUGAAAC